GGCGCAUCCGAACAGAGAAAAAAAAACCUGCUAAUGUCCAAACCAGGGUUGUUAACGUUAAUCAACGAUCAACGCCGUUAACGUUAAAUUGUUUGUUGGUCAACGUUAACACCGUUGCGUUGAUUUCCACUGUAGUUAGCGUCAACGUCAACGGGUUGCGUUUAAUUAACGUUAACGGGUAUCGCUAAUCGAACGUUGAUUAUCAGCUGGAGCUGCGGGGAAUUUUUUUGUUAUUUCCGUAAACAAAUCGUUUCUAUGCAUGUCCGUUUCUAAGGAAAAUUCAUCAUUCUGCAUUCAACAGUCAGCUUGAUUGUACCGAUCUGUCAUACGUUUUCGCUGUAUUUCCAAUCAGAAGGUGGCUUCCGUCGUCUCAAUCCAGUACUCAAGUGGCUCCAAGUCACGACACGCGCCGAUCCGUAAAAUUUCAGCACUAGGAUAUUGGAACGGGAUCGUUGAGUGGUCAUCAACAAGACCGAUAAUGGUAUACCUAUAAACCGAGUUCUCGAUUGGAUAAACGACGACGCCGAUCUCAAGUGUGCCGCUUACGUCUUCCAGAUGGUGUCUCCUGUUGACCGACAGAAAUUGAUCUGGUAGAAAGUAUCCAAAAAUCAGUAUGAACAUGAAACGAAAAACUCCCUGAUCACGCUGCUUCAUCAAGGAUCAAUUCAUGUACCUACCUAAGUACUGUAUGAACCAGGAAUAACUUUCAGUUUGUUUUAAUUCAAGGCCAUGUUUUCAACAACACUUCGUAUUGCAGGCAGUUCUUGUCUGUAAAAGUAUAUUACUCUUAAAAGACAACGAUGGAUGAGGCACCCACUUUCUAUGGCACUUGUUGAGCACUUCGAAAUACAUACAUCAGCUUUUUAUAAUGUAUUAUAUAAUAAAUAAAUAUUUAUUGAGGUUACAUUGA
Aedes aegypti (yellow fever mosquito) is the source of this 910-nucleotide long non-coding RNA. RefSeq lists it as uncharacterized. The record is from RefSeq and is a predicted model, not a curated record. The transcript has 2 exons. NCBI's taxonomy places the organism in Eukaryota, Metazoa, Arthropoda, Insecta, Diptera, Culicidae.